RNAcentral lists this ribosomal RNA (743 nucleotides) under Miconia strigillosa. RNAcentral's name for it is "eukaryotic LSU rRNA". The stretch from base 314 to 469 matches the Rfam family "5.8S ribosomal RNA". The record is from RNAcentral. Lineage: Eukaryota; Viridiplantae; Streptophyta; Magnoliopsida; Myrtales; Melastomataceae.
AGAGGAAGGAGAAGUCGUAACAAGGUUUCCGUAGGUGAACCUGCGGAAGGAUCAUUGUCGAAAUCGAACGGAAGAACGACCCGCGAAUCGUCAUUGCGUACUAGACAGAGCCCGUGGGCACCUAACGCUCAUGGGGCUCGCGUCGCGUCGGCGCGGGUGUCCUCGAGACCCGCGUCGUACCGGCGGACAAACAAUGUCAGCACGGAUCGUGCCAAGGAGCUUUAUUGAGAGAAUCGUCGUCCCACGCCUUCGGUAGUCCUCGAUGCGGGACGGGGGGCGGGGGACGUACGCAGUCUCUACCCAAAGUCUAAACGACUCUCGGCAACGGAUAUCUCGGCUCUUGCAUCGAUGAAGAACGUAGCGAAAUGCGAUACUUGGUGUGAAUUGCAGAAUCCCGCGAACCAUCAAUUCUUUGAACGCAAGUUGCGCCCGAAGCCAUACGGCCGAGGGCACGCCUGCCUGGGUGUCGUGAAUCCCCUUGCCCCUAGGCACCCGCAUGAGCAUUGGCGGGUAUUAUGCUCGGGCGCAGAAUAUGGUCUCCCGUGGGAUCGGCAUGCCCGGCAUGUCGAGGCGCGGUUGGCCGAAAAUCGAGCAUGGCGGUGUCGGGCACCACGGCGUUCGGUGGAUCGAAUGAGAUUGGCUGCGUCGCGGGCUCGGCAUGCGGCGGGCUCCGGACUUUGAAUAUCCCCGAGUGCGAACCGCAGGUCAGGCGGGGCUACCCGCUGAGUUUAAGCAUAUCAAUA